AGAGAGAGACAUGCGCGCAUAUCAAUAAGCGGAGGAAAAGAAACUAACAAGGAUUCCCCUAGUAACGGCGAGUGAAGCGGGAAGAGCUCAAAUUUGAAAUCUUCAAGGGUUUACCUUUACGAAUCGUAGUUUAAAGAAGUGUUUUCUGUUGAGGUUUCGGUAAAAGUUCUUUGGAAUAGGACAUCAUAGAGGGUGAGAAUCCCGUAUUUGACCUUUACUUUCAACUUUGUGAUACACUUUCAAAGAGUCGGAUUGUUUGGGAAUGCAGUCCAAAAUGGGUGGUAAAUUUCAUCUAAAGCUAAAUAUUGGCGAGAGACCGAUAGCGAGCAAGUACCGUGAGGGAAAGAUGAAAAGAACUUUGAAAAGAGAGUUAAACAGUACGUGAAAUUGUCAAAAGGGAAGCGUUUGACACCAGUGUUGUUUUUCUGAAAAUCAAUUAAAGAACUGUUUAUGCUAAGUUGUUUAGACUUUAUCAGCUAACUGUUUAGUUUUGAGCUUUUCUUUAAUGCACUUUUCAGUUACAAGUCAACAUCAAUUUCUUUUGCUGUAAAAAAGCUUGAGGAAGGUGGCUUGAGAUUCGUCUUAAGUGUUUAUAGCCUCUUGCCUAUGCAGUCGGAGAGAUUGAGGUCUGCAGCGUAGAUCCUUCGGGGCUAAAUGCAUUUGUGCUAAGAUAUAGCAUUUUAUAGACAACUUGUUGACUAUGAUUUGUCUUGUAGCUUACUCGCUUAUGUUAUUUUACCUACGCUUAGGAUGUUGAGCGCAUGUCUCUCUCU
This 773-nucleotide ribosomal RNA is filed under the name uncultured Neocallimastigales. RNAcentral describes it as "partial large subunit ribosomal RNA". It matches the Rfam family "Eukaryotic large subunit ribosomal RNA", at positions 23 to 616 of the family's 3401-position model. The record is from RNAcentral. Lineage: Eukaryota; Fungi; Neocallimastigomycota; Neocallimastigomycetes; Neocallimastigales.